RNAcentral lists this ribosomal RNA (253 nucleotides) under uncultured bacterium. Its description in RNAcentral is "partial 16S ribosomal RNA". It matches the Rfam family "Bacterial small subunit ribosomal RNA", at positions 524 to 776 of the family's 1533-position model. The record is from RNAcentral.
UACGUAGGGGGCAAGCGUUAUCCGGAUUUACUGGGUGUAAAGGGAGCGUAGACGGCGAUGCAAGUCUGGAGUGAAAGGCGGGGGCCCAACCCCCGGACUGCUCUGGAAACUAUGUUACUAGAGUGCAGGAGAGGUAAGCGGAAUUCCUAGUGUAGCGGUGAAAUGCGUAGAUAUUAGGAGGAACACCAGUGGCGAAGGCGGCUUACUGGACUGUAACUGACGUUGAGGCUCGAAAGCGUGGGGAGCAAACAGG